Long non-coding RNA from Melanotaenia boesemani (Boeseman's rainbowfish), 556 nucleotides. RefSeq lists it as uncharacterized. Lineage: Eukaryota; Metazoa; Chordata; Actinopteri; Atheriniformes; Melanotaeniidae. The record is from RefSeq and is a predicted model, not a curated record. The transcript is spliced from 5 exons.
AAUCUUAAAUCCUGUAUUUUUCCCAUGUUUUCUAAACCUUAACUGUGUUUCAAAGCUGCACAGUUAAGGACAGUGUGAUAGGUUGUAUCAAUCAAUGUGAUAUUUUUCAGCUUUGCUUUAACCACAGAUCAAGUACAGCACUAGACAGCUUAAUGAGUUUGGGCUUACAGAUGGGGAAGGAAUGGAGAGGCUGUGGUCUUUCCUUUGAAGAUUUGCCAGAGUCACAAAAGAAAUGACUCCAUCUCACCGUCUUGACCUGCUGACUGAUGCACUUCUGCACUAUGGACGGAGGAAAUCUACUGACCUUGAGGUGAGCCUGCUACAAAAAUUGGACAAAGCAGAGAAACUAUCAAGUCUCGCUGAAGAGGACAUGUCUUCUGUCAUAAGAGCGGCACAGUACUGAUCUUUGAACAAGACAUAGAGAGAUGGAAGAAGAGAGAGUUGGAGAUGUCCCAAUAGAAACCAAAACCAAUACACACUGUCUCUAAAUGGAAAAGGGACACAUAAUGAAGUUGGUAAAGUCUUACAAGCUCAAAUCUGGGACUUGUGAGUCAUC